GAAGGCCUCCGCGACCCAGAGCAGCAAGAAGAGGAGCAGCCAUGGGAGGAAAGAACUCUAACCCGCCUCCAAGACUCCAAGAUCGAUCAAGAGCUCUCCGGGGCGAAGGACCGGAACGAGUUGGGGGCAAGAAGCACAAGGUGAAGUGGAUGAAGAGGCCAAUGACCAUGCCCCAGGCCAUCAUCGAGUUCCUCGACGAAGAUCUUAGGAAGAACGACUCCAGAUACCUAAGCAACUACCUCGUCGAGGUCUCCAUUUCUUUUGCGAAUUUUCUUGGGUUUCUUUAUUGAUUUUGGGUACAUCUGUUUCGAAUUAGAUUUUUCUCUCAAUUUGGGAUGGAUUAAUGGUUAUCGUUGUUUUGAAUUUUUCUGAUUUUUUUGCGUUCUUCUGUCUGUUACUCCUCUAAGCUGAGAUCUUUUCGAGCUUCUUUCUGGGAUUAUGGUCGUUUGUGAUUAGCUUUUCAGGAAUUGGGUUAAAGAAAAUUGGUUCGGUCUUCCUUAUCUCAGUUCUUUUUCAAUGUUUGCCCUGCUUCUAGUCUGCAUAAUUUGGUUCUUUCACUGAACUGCUUUGACUGAAUUCGAUUAAUUUCUUUUGCCACUUCAUGCUGAAGUUUCUGGUUUUGGAAUUAUUGCAGUCAUUUUCUGGAUUCUUGGUGUUUGUGUCAUUAUUUUGGUUGGAAUUCUUGGUGUUUCGAAUUCUAUUAUUUUUGGGUUUCUUUUGUUUUCUGUUCCUCUAAAGUUGAAAUCUUCAGAAUCUACCCUUGGUGAUUAUGAUUGUUAUAAAUUGGGUUUUUUCAAGGAUGGGUAAAAUCGAUAGGUUUAGUUUUUCUUUUCUCAUUUUAUUUUUCAGUUUUUGCCCUGAGCUGUGGUCCCUGUAGUUUUAUUUUUUGAUUGGAUGUCUCUCCCAAUUAUGUUUAUGAUAUUUAAAUUAAACAUAUUGUUAUUUCUUUGUAAUUUUCUUGUAUAAUCUACUAUGUUCCGUAGGAUUUGAAUCAUUUGAUGUUUAAGUAAUUCGAGGUCUCCAUAUCUGUUGGGAAUUUUCUUGGGUUUCUUUAUUGAUUUUGGGUGCAUCUGUUUCGAAUAAGACUUUUUUCUCAAUUUGUGAUGGAUUAUUGGUUAUUGUUGUUUUGAAUUUUCUGAUUUUUUUGCGUUCUUCUGUUUUUUACUCCUCUAAGUUGAGAUCUUUUCAAGCUACUUUCCAGGAUUAUGGUCGCUUGUGAUUGGCUUUUUAGGCAUUGUGUUAAAGAAAAUUGGUUCGGUCUUCCUUAUCUCAGUUCUUUUUCAAUUUUUGCCCUGACUUCUAGUAUGCAUAACUUGGUUCUUUCACUGAAUUGUUUUGACUGAAUUCGAUUAAUUUCUUUUGUCAAUUCUGCAAUGACUCCUUAUCCAUUGAUGAUUGGGAUGAGUUUUGAACACGACUCUGUUUGUUAUUUCAGUUUGAGUCGGAUUUAGAGUUCAAAAUAUGUUUCUAGAUCAGGUUAUUUAUUUGCUGUGUUGUUCUGCAAUGAUAGAGUUGCAAGGAAUGUUGUGGACCGUGGAGUUAUUAUUUGUUACUUUUUACUGUGUAAGCAUUUUGAAUGACAUGUAUGUUUUAUUCUUCCCCCUAAAUCUAACCCAUGCUAUCGUAAUGGUAUCUUGCACUUUAUUUCCUAUCAUGGCUUGAUCCAUUGAUCUUACAUCUUGUCAUUUCAUGUACAGUGCUCUUCUCUUAAAAAAACACUACAGCAGUUGUAAUCUGCAAAAGAUACCUUUUGCUGGAUGCUGGGAAACACAGUAAGAACUCAAUAUAAAGGAAUCUGUUGGACAACUUACCUACAUAUAAGACGUUUUGAUGAAACCAGAUUGAGGCAUUUAUAUUUGCUUGUCUGGCUACUGCGUCCAUCAGUUCUAUUUAUAUAUGACAACUUACCUACUCAUUCUA
Phoenix dactylifera (date palm) is the source of this 1920-nucleotide non-coding RNA. The record is from RefSeq and is a predicted model, not a curated record. NCBI's taxonomy places the organism in Eukaryota, Viridiplantae, Streptophyta, Magnoliopsida, Arecales, Arecaceae.